Molecule: ribosomal RNA, 468 nt
Filed under: uncultured bacterium
Lineage: Bacteria
Description: partial 16S ribosomal RNA
Rfam family: Bacterial small subunit ribosomal RNA
Source: RNAcentral
GACGAACGCUGGCGGCGUGCUUAACACAUGCAAGUCGAACGGAAAGGCCCUGCUUUUGUGGGGUGCUCGAGUGGCGAACGGGUGAGUAACACGUGAGUAACCUGCCCUUGACUUUGGGAUAACUUCAGGAAACUGGGGCUAAUACCGGAUAGGAGCUCCUGCUGCAUGGUGGGGGUUGGAAAGUUUCGGCGGUUGGGGAUGGACUCGCGGCUUAUCAGCUUGUUGGUAGGGUAGUGGCUUACCAAGGCUUUGACGGGUAGCCGGCCUGAGAGGGUGACCGGCCACAUUGGGACUGAGAUACGGCCCAGACUCCUACGGGAGGCAGCAGUGGGGAAUAUUGCACAAUGGGCGGAAGCCUGAUGCAGCAACGCCGCGUGCGGGAUGACGGCCUUCGGGUUGUAAACCGCUUUCGCCUGUGACGAAGCGUGAGUGACGGUAAUGGGUAAAGAAGCACCGGCUAACUACGUA